CAGUCGCCGCGGUAAUACGUAGGUGGCAAGCGUUGUCCGGAAUUAUUGGGCGUAAAGGGCUCGCAGGCGGUUUCUUAAGUCUGAUGUGAAAGCCCCCGGCUCAACCGGGGAGGGUCAUUGGAAACUGGGAAACUUGAGUGCAGAAGAGGAGAGUGGAAUUCCACGUGUAGCGGUGAAAUGCGUAGAGAUGUGGAGGAACACCAGUGGCGAAGGCGACUCUCUGGUCUGUAACUGACGCUGAGGAGCGAAAGCGUGGGGAGCGAACAGGAUUAGAUACCCCGGUAGUCCCUGUCUCUUAUUU
This 301-nucleotide ribosomal RNA is filed under the name uncultured bacterium. RNAcentral's name for it is "partial 16S ribosomal RNA". It matches the Rfam family "Bacterial small subunit ribosomal RNA", at positions 509 to 809 of the family's 1533-position model. The record is from RNAcentral.